GGCGAAUGCGCGGGCUACCAUGCAGUCGAGCGGUGAACAGAAAGAAGCUUGCUACUUUGCUGACGAGCGGCGGACGGGUGAGUAAUGCUUGGGAACAUGCCUUGAGGUGGGGGACAACAGUUGGAAACGACUGCUAAUACCGCAUAAUGUCUACGGACCAAAGGGGGCUUCGGCUCUCGCCUUUAGAUUGGCCCAAGUGGGAUUAGCUAGUUGGUGAGGUAAUGGCUCACCAAGGCGACGAUCCCUAGCUGGUUUGAGAGGAUGAUCAGCCACACUGGGACUGAGACACGGCCCAGACUCCUACGGGAGGCAGCAGUGGGGAAUAUUGCACAAUGGGCGCAAGCCUGAUGCAGCCAUGCCGCGUGUGUGAAGAAGGCCUUCGGGUUGUAAAGCACUUUCAGUCAGGAGGAAAGCGUGGUGGUUAAUACCCAUCAUGUGUGACGUUACUGACAGAAGAAGCACCGGCUAACUCCGUGCCAGCAGCCGCGGUAAUACGGAGGGUGCGAGCGUUAAUCGGAAUUACUGGGCGUAAAGCGUACGCAGGCGGUUUGUUAAGCGAGAUGUGAAAGCCCCGGGCUCAACCUGGGAACUGCAUUUCGAACUGGCAAACUAGAGUGUGAUAGAGGGUGGUAGAAUUUCAGGUGUAGCGGUGAAAUGCGUAGAGAUCUGAAGGAAUACCGAUGGCGAAGGCAGCCACCUGGGUCAACACUGACGCUCAUGUACGAAAGCGUGGGGAGCAAACGGGAUUAGAUACCCCGGUAGUCCACGCCGUAAACGAUGUCUACUAGAAGCUCGGAGCCUCGGUUCUGUUUUUCAAAGCUAACGCAUUAAGUAGACCGCCUGGGGAGUACGGCCGCAAGGUUAAAACUCAAAUGAAUUGACGGGGGCCCGCACAAGCGGUGGAGCAUGUGGUUUAAUUCGAUGCAACGCGAAGAACCUUACCUACACUUGACAUACAGAGAACUUACCAGAGAUGGUUUGGUGCCUUCGGGAACUCUGAUACAGGUGCUGCAUGGCUGUCGUCAGCUCCGGUUUGAAGAUGUUGGGUUAAGUCCCGCAACCAAGCGCAACCCCUAUCCCUAAGUUGCUAGCAGGGAAAUGCUGGAAAACUCCCAAGGAAAACUGGCUGGUGGUAAAACCGGGAGGAAAGGUGGGGGACUACGUCCAGGUCUUCCAUGGCCCCUUACGGUUAGAGGGUACCCCCAUG
RNAcentral lists this ribosomal RNA (1207 nucleotides) under Pseudoalteromonas sp. An90. RNAcentral describes it as "bacterial SSU rRNA". It matches the Rfam family "Bacterial small subunit ribosomal RNA", at positions 32 to 1224 of the family's 1533-position model. Lineage: Bacteria; Pseudomonadati; Pseudomonadota; Gammaproteobacteria; Alteromonadales; Pseudoalteromonadaceae. The record is from RNAcentral.